This 294-nucleotide non-coding RNA is filed under the name Aplanochytrium stocchinoi. Lineage: Eukaryota; Bigyra; Thraustochytrida; Thraustochytriidae. The record is from RNAcentral.
GGAGGCAAAAGCCUAUGAAGAAAAUAUAACCAAAGUUGCCUUUAAAAGUCAUUUUUUCUGCUUACUAAUUAGUUUCAAAAAUACUUUUAUUUUUUUUUGUUUCCAACUCACAAUCUAUGUGAGUAUUGUAAACAAAGAUACCGAGCAAUUGCGAAUUUAUAUAGUCUAUGAUAAAAACAACUGAGUUCGAAUGUGCCCAAUUAAAACUUUCUCAAUUCCUAUGUACUAACACUCAAACAUUAAAAAUGUAUAAUAUAAUAAUUUAGUUUCUCCACAGGCUUACUACACAUUUGU